UACGGAGGAUCCAAGCGUUAUCCGGAUUUAUUGGGUUUAAAGGGUGCGUAGGCGGAAUAGUAAGUCAGUGGUGAAAUCCUGCAGCUUAACUGCGGAACUGCCAUUGAUACUGCUGUUCUUGAGUACAUUUGAUGUGGGCGGAAUGUGUCGUGUAGCGGUGAAAUGCUUAGAUAUGACACAGAACACCGAUUGCGAAGGCAGCUCACAAAACUGUAACUGACGCUGAGGCACGAAAGCGUGGGGAUCAAACAGG
This 253-nucleotide ribosomal RNA is filed under the name uncultured bacterium. Its description in RNAcentral is "partial 16S ribosomal RNA". It matches the Rfam family "Bacterial small subunit ribosomal RNA", at positions 524 to 776 of the family's 1533-position model. The record is from RNAcentral.